Non-coding RNA from Arabidopsis thaliana x Arabidopsis arenosa, 122 nucleotides. Lineage: Eukaryota; Viridiplantae; Streptophyta; Magnoliopsida; Brassicales; Brassicaceae. The record is from the annotation of a GenBank genome assembly.
UUAACCCAUUUAACAUUUCAACCCGUCAAAUUAAAUGAGUUAUGGGUUGACCCAAUCCAUAUAACAAAAUGAGUUGGGUCAACCCAUAACUCAUUUAACUCUCAACUCAUUUGAUUAUGAGU